UAUCUCUCUCUCAUCAAUCCAUCUGCACCACAGGAAAAACAAACCAUGGCCGGCCGCCACCAUAACACCCGCAGAGAAGAAGAACACAAUCCGCCGCCGCCGCAAGUUCAUCACACCGGGCCUGCCCCACCAGUCCCCAAUCCUCAAGUUCAUCACACCUCCCAUACCUCACAUUCUCCCGCCCCACCUCAAGUCCCCAGCCACUCUCCCGCCCCACCGCACGUCCCCAGCCACUCUCCCGCCCCACCUCAAGUCUCCAGCCACUCUCCGGCAGCGGCGGCGCCCCAUCAUGCUCCGGCGGCGUCCACCCACAACGAGCUGGCCAAUAAACCCUCUGUUAGGGUGUAUUGUAAGGCUGAGCCCAAUUUCUCCUUGACAAUUCGUGAUGGCAAAGUUGUUCUGGCGCACUCCAAUUCCGCCG
Molecule: long non-coding RNA, 421 nt
Filed under: Salvia miltiorrhiza (redroot sage)
Lineage: Eukaryota; Viridiplantae; Streptophyta; Magnoliopsida; Lamiales; Lamiaceae
Description: long non-coding RNA (SMIL_LNC006066)
Source: RNAcentral